UGGGGUUCAUUAUAAUCUUAAAAUUAAUAAGAUGCAGCAUAUAAUGAUCAAAAAUACUAGUUUUAUUGAUAAUAUUAAUGUCAAUUAUAUGAGUUUGGAAGAUAAAUUAUAAUAAACAUCCUAUUGUUAGAUUUGUGCUCUAGAAAUUAAUUGUUGGCUGACACAUUAUGUAUUUUCAAGACCUAAAUUUGUACUUGUAACACUUUCAUUAUAAAUAAAGAAUUUUUUCUUUCCAAUCAUACUUAUGUAUCCAUGAUUUAUUCUAAAAAUUGAUAAAGAUAAUUUUUGUAUAUUCUUAAAGAGUUAAAAAUUUGAGACAUACAUUAAUUAGUGAUUAAUUUCUAAAUGCUUCCAAUCAAGGGAUCAUCACGGAAGAUAGAGAUCAAUCCAUUUGAGAUCGAUGCAUGGUUCACCUCUCUUGUGGGUAGAUAAGUCUUGGGUCUGCAGUGUAGAGACACUAGGAUGAAGGUCCAGGUGGUUGUUAGAGAAUAACUUACACCGAGCGUGACCAAUACGAGAACCACAUAGAUGUCUACUCACUCGUCAGUGGUCUUCUCGAUGCUGCAGUGGUAUGAGUGAUCCUUUGACCUAUGAUGAUAUUGGCUAUUCGCAGUGAGACUACUGAGUUUGACUGCACGUUCCCUUGAUCCCUAGUCAUUCGAAUCCUUGCUGUGUAUGUUGGCUUUAGUAGGUUCAGGUUCGCUGUUUGGAGUAGGAUGCACCUAGAUGGAAUUAUCGAUCUUGGUAGAAAAGAAGAAGACCUAUGUGAUUUACGAGAUUGAGUUCAAAAAAUCUUUGGCCAAAGCAAGUAUGAAUACUGAAAAAGAAUUUUCAUGGGAUUCACAAAUGAACUCGCAUCGAGCCAAUGUUACAUAAGACUGACGAUGGGGUUUGACGAGUUCUCCAUGACCUCCAUCAAGUCAAGACUCACGAUAGAAGGACUAAAUCAUACGAUAACUGUACCUAAAAGCU
RNAcentral lists this long non-coding RNA (972 nucleotides) under Elaeis guineensis (African oil palm). RNAcentral describes it as "long non-coding RNA (EGUI_LNC082649)". The record is from RNAcentral. Lineage: Eukaryota; Viridiplantae; Streptophyta; Magnoliopsida; Arecales; Arecaceae.